AUAGGGACCGACCAUGCUACCGCCUCAACAACACCUGUUGCAUAUGUGGUAGUGCCCAGCACUAUGCGAGAGAGUGCCCGAGGAACCAGAACCAAGGAAGACCUCCUUUUCAGGGCAGGGUUUACAACCUCACCCAACAGGAUGCCAACGCCGACCCGGACAUGGUACAGGGUAUGUACACUAUCUGUGACCAUAUUGCUCAUGUUUUAUUUGAUACUGGUACAUCGCAUUCAUUUGUUUCACAUGUUUUUGCAUCCUAACUUAAUAUAUCACCUGAUAAACUUGAUUCAAUAU
Molecule: long non-coding RNA, 294 nt
Filed under: Carica papaya (papaya)
Lineage: Eukaryota; Viridiplantae; Streptophyta; Magnoliopsida; Brassicales; Caricaceae
Description: long non-coding RNA (CPAP_LNC001193)
Source: RNAcentral